UACGUAGGGUGCAAACGUUAUCCGGAAUUACUGGGCGUAAAGGGCGCGCAGGCGGAUCGAUAAGUGAGGCAUGAAAGCUUCGGGCUAAACCUGGAGAGGCUGUCUGAGACUGUCGAUCUGGAGUGCGAUAGAGGGGUGUAGAAUUCCGCGUGUAGUGGUGAAAUGCGUAGAGAUGCGGAGGAAUACCAGAGGCGAAGGCGGCACCCUGGAUCGUAACUGACGCUGAGGCGCGAAAGCGUGGGGAGCAAACAGG
This 253-nucleotide ribosomal RNA is filed under the name uncultured bacterium. Its description in RNAcentral is "partial 16S ribosomal RNA". It matches the Rfam family "Bacterial small subunit ribosomal RNA", at positions 524 to 776 of the family's 1533-position model. The record is from RNAcentral.